UGUUUUCGGUUUUUAUUUGUCAAUUGUCGAUUGCGGAGCUGUGUUUAGUUUGAAAAUGUACAGCGUAUGUUAUGUUACCGAAUUUAUUAGACAAUAUGAAUAAUAAAAUUUAAAACUUCUGAUAUAAAAUCGGACUUUUAUGUCAAUUAGUCACAUAACAACACGUGUUAUUCGGUUAAUUUCAGGAGAAACUGAUUUUUGAGUACGUCUUUUAGA
RNAcentral lists this long non-coding RNA (216 nucleotides) under Mytilus galloprovincialis (Mediterranean mussel). Lineage: Eukaryota; Metazoa; Mollusca; Bivalvia; Mytilida; Mytilidae. The record is from RNAcentral.